RNAcentral lists this ribosomal RNA (440 nucleotides) under uncultured bacterium. Its description in RNAcentral is "partial 16S ribosomal RNA". It matches the Rfam family "Bacterial small subunit ribosomal RNA", at positions 338 to 795 of the family's 1533-position model. The record is from RNAcentral.
CCUACGGGAGGCUGCAGUAGGGAAUAUUGCUCAAUGGGGGAAACCCUGAAGCAGCAACGCCGCGUGGAGGAUGAAGGUUUUCGGAUUGUAAACUCCUUUUGUUAGAGAAGAUACUGACGGUAUCUAACGAAUAAGCACCGUCUAACUCCGUGCCAGCAGCCGCGGUAAUACGGAGGGUGCAAGCGUUACUCGGAAUCACUGGGCGUAAAGAGCGCGUAGGCGGGAUAGCAAGUCAGAUGUGAAAUCCUAUGGCUUAACCAUAGAACUGCAUUUGAAACUGGUAUUCUAGAGUAUGGGAGAGGUAGGUGGAAUUCGUGGUGUAGGGGUAAAAUCCUUAGAGAUGAAGAGGAAUACUCAUUGCGAAGGCGACCUGCUAGAACAUAACUGACGCUGAUGCGCGAAAGCGUGGGGAGCAAACAGGAUUAGAUACCCCAGUAGUC